UAAAGAGCGCGUAGGCGGUUUAUUAAGUUGGGAGUGAAAUCCCGGGGCUCAACCUCGGAAUUGCUCUCAAAACUGGUAGGCUAGAGUUCGGUAGGGGGUGAUGGAAUUCCUAGUGUAGAGGUGAAAUUCUUAGAUAUUAGGAGGAACACCGGUGGCGAAGGCGAUCACCUGGCCCGAUACUGACGCUGAGGCGCGAAAGCGUGGGGAGCAAACAGGAUUAGAUACCCUGU
Molecule: ribosomal RNA, 230 nt
Filed under: uncultured bacterium
Lineage: Bacteria
Description: partial 16S ribosomal RNA
Rfam family: Bacterial small subunit ribosomal RNA
Source: RNAcentral